RNAcentral lists this transfer RNA (71 nucleotides) under Stegodyphus mimosarum. It matches the Rfam family "tRNA". Rfam says of the family: Transfer RNA (tRNA) molecules are approximately 80 nucleotides in length. Their secondary structure includes four short double-helical elements and three loops (D, anti-codon, and T loops). The record is from Rfam by way of RNAcentral. Lineage: Eukaryota; Metazoa; Arthropoda; Arachnida; Araneae; Eresidae.
UCCUUCGUGGUGUAAUGGUAGCACAAUCGGCGCGCAUUCGAGAGGUCCGGGUUCGAGUCCCAGCAAAGGCA